ACCUCCACUGGGAUGUCCACCAGGCCGAACUGGCUGUUGAAGUCAGGAGAGGAGCCGAGCAGCAGGCCGAUGGUGGCUAGGAGGGACACGGCCAGGCUCCACAGCAGGGGCCUGUUCUCGGGCAGGCUCUCCAUGAAGGGUGGGCCCUGCGGGGAUGCGGGCAAUGGCUGUGGGUGGCCUGGACAUGAGGGUGCGUGCGGGGUGGGCCCGGUUCGGGGCUGGGCGGCCUCACCUUGUAGUUGAUGGCGAAGGUGGCCAUCUGCAUGGCCAUGGCCAUGAUGUACACAGUGCUGUUGACCAGGCUGGGCUCGAACUCCUUGUAGAGGUCUACAAACUGCUCCUGCCUGUGGGACGCACCAGGUCAGGUCCCUACUGUCCCCACGCCUGUCCCUGCGCCCAGGUGACCCUGGGCUCCCGUCAGCUUCUGUGCACAGGCCCUGUUGCCCACUGCUGCCCACCACUGCCCACCAGGGCGUCACUCACUUCUCGGGACUGCGGGCCUGGGCCUCCCGGUACAGGUAGACGAGGCUCAGGAAAUGCACGGCAAACUGCAGCAUCACGGGCUCUGAGGCUCCCCAAGCUGUGCCAGCCCUGACUGGACCCCCACAUCUGGGCUCUGGGCCCCACCUGUCCCUGUGGAUGACAGGUCCCACCCACAGACCACACGAGCCAGGGCCCAUGCCGCUGGGUGCCCACCUUGGAGCGGGAGAUGAAGAGGAAGCAGCCGGCCAGCAGCAGCCCCUGCAGUGUGGCCUGGAAGUCGCUGAACUUGACACCCUCCAGGUAGAGGACGCUCUGGCUGUAGGCCAGGAUGAGGGCGUUGAGCGCCAGGAUCUUGAACAUCUGCAGCGUGGUCACCAGAGUGCAGCGGCCUUGCUUGAUCACGUGGCAGACUGGGGCGACAGUGGGGAGUGUGGGAGCGGCCGUCGGGCGCGGGGCGCGGGGCGGAGGGCGGCGAGGGGCACUCACUGCACUGGAUGGACGAGAGCUUGGAGGUGAAGGGCGCGGCGAUGCUGGCGUCACCCAGCUUCACGAUGGGCGUGCUCUCGUCCUCCAGGUCGCGCAGCACCUGGCUCAGGCGGUCCUGC
Molecule: long non-coding RNA, 1088 nt
Filed under: Heterocephalus glaber (naked mole-rat)
Lineage: Eukaryota; Metazoa; Chordata; Mammalia; Rodentia; Bathyergidae
Description: lncRNA (ENSHGLG00000035642.1)
Source: RNAcentral